Otolemur garnettii (small-eared galago) is the source of this 96-nucleotide unclassified non-coding RNA. It matches the Rfam family "Y RNA". From Rfam's summary of the family: Y RNAs are components of the Ro ribonucleoprotein particle (Ro RNP), in association with Ro60 and La proteins. The Y RNAs and Ro60 and La proteins are well conserved, but the function of the Ro RNP is not known. In humans the RNA component can be one of four small RNAs -- hY1, hY3, hY4 and hY5. NCBI's taxonomy places the organism in Eukaryota, Metazoa, Chordata, Mammalia, Primates, Galagidae. The record is from Ensembl.
GGCUGGUCUGAGUGCAGUGGUAUUUACAACUAAUUGAUCACAACCAAUUACAGAUUCCUUUGUUCCUUCUCUCCCACUGCUUCACUUGACUAAAAA